RNAcentral lists this ribosomal RNA (1491 nucleotides) under metagenome. RNAcentral's name for it is "bacterial SSU rRNA". It matches the Rfam family "Bacterial small subunit ribosomal RNA". The record is from RNAcentral.
AGAGUUUGAUCCUGGCUCAGAUUGGACGCUGGCGGCAUGCCUUACACAUGCAAGUCGAACGGCAGCACGAGAGCUUGCUCUUGGUGGCGAGUGGCGAACGGGUGAGUAAUAUAUCGGAACGUACCCUAGAGUGGGGGAUAACGUAGCGAAAGUUACGCUAAUACCGCAUACGAUCUACGGAUGAAAGUGGGGGAUCGCAAGACCUCAUGCUCAUGGAGCGGCCGAUAUCUGAUUAGCUAGUUGGUGGGGUAAAAGCUCACCAAGGCGACGAUCAGUAGCUGGUCUGAGAGGACGACCAGCCACACUGGAACUGAGACACGGUCCAGACUCCUACGGGAGGCAGCAGUGGGGAAUUUUGGACAAUGGGCGCAAGCCUGAUCCAGCAAUGCCGCGUGAGUGAAGAAGGCCUUCGGGUUGUAAAGCUCUUUUGUCAGGGAAGAAACGGUGGACUCUAAUACAGAUCACUAAUGACGGUACCUGAAGAAUAAGCACCGGCUAACUACGUGCCAGCAGCCGCGGUAAUACGUAGGGUGCAAGCGUUAAUCGGAAUUACUGGGCGUAAAGCGUGCGCAGGCGGUUGUGCAAGACAGAUGUGAAAUCCCCGGGCUCAACCUGGGAAUUGCAUUUGUGACUGCACGGCUAGAGUGUGUCAGAGGGGGGUAGAAUUCCACGUGUAGCAGUGAAAUGCGUAGAGAUGUGGAGGAAUACCGAUGGCGAAGGCAGCCCCCUGGGAUAACACUGACGCUCAUGCACGAAAGCGUGGGGAGCAAACAGGAUUAGAUACCCUGGUAGUCCACGCCCUAAACGAUGUCUACUAGUUGUCGGGUCUUAAUUGACUUGGUAACGCAGCUAACGCGUGAAGUAGACCGCCUGGGGAGUACGGUCGCAAGAUUAAAACUCGAAGGAAUUGACGGGGACCCGCACAAGCGGUGGAUGAUGUGGAUUAAUUCGAUGCAACGCGAAAAACCUUACCUACCCUUGACAUGUCUGGAAUCCUUGAGAGAUCAGGGAGUGCUCGAAAGAGAAUCAGAACACAGGUGCUGCAUGGCUGUCGUCAGCUCGUGUCGUGAGAUGUUGGGUUAAGUCCCGCAACGAGCGCAACCCUUGUCAUUAGUUGCUACGAAAGGGCACUCUAAUGAGACUGCCGGUGACAAACCGGAGGAAGGUGGGGAUGACGUCAAGUCCUCAUGGCCCUUAUGGGUAGGGCUUCACACGUCAUACAAUGGUACAUACAGAGGGCCGCCAACCCGCGAGGGGGAGCUAAUCCCAGAAAGUGUAUCGUAGUCCGGAUUGUAGUCUGCAACUCGACUACAUGAAGUUGGAAUCGCUAGUAAUCGCGGAUCAGCAUGUCGCGGUGAAUACGUUCCCGGGUCUUGUACACACCGCCCGUCACACCAUGGGAGCGGGUUUCACCAGAAGUGGGUAGCCUAACCGCAAGGAGGGCGCUCACCACGGUGGGAUUCGUGACUGGGGUGAAGUCGUAACAAGGUA